Molecule: ribosomal RNA, 408 nt
Filed under: uncultured bacterium
Lineage: Bacteria
Description: partial 16S ribosomal RNA
Rfam family: Bacterial small subunit ribosomal RNA
Source: RNAcentral
GACGAACGCUGGCGGCGUGCUUAACACAUGCAAGUCGAACGGAGUGGCGAACGGGUGAGUAACACGUGGGUGACCUGCCCUGCACUUCGGGAUAAUCCUGGGAAACUGGGUCUAAUACCGGAUAGUGUGGGAUGGGCCCGCGGCCUAUCAGCUUGUUGGUGGGGUAAUGGCCUACCAAGGCGGCGACGGGGAGCCGGCCUGGGAGGGUGGACGGCCUCCUUGGGACUGAGGAACGGCCCAGACGCCAACGGGAGGCAGCAGUGGGGAAUAUUGCACAAUGGGCGGAAGCCUGAUGAAGCGACGCCGCGGGGGGGAUGACGGCCUUCCGGUUGUAAACUCCUUUCACCAUCGACGCGGUAGAUGGAGAAGAAGCACCGGCUAACUACGUGCCAGCAGCCGCGGUAAUUC